AUGGGCCAUGACAAUGUGGCAGGCGAGCCAUCAACCCGUGGUGCCCCUGUAGUGGUGUCUUUGCAAUCAGAGAGCCAUACUCUAGAUGACACGGGAACCGAGGCAAAUGUUCCUGGUCCAACCAGGACUGAGCUAGGAGCUGGGGCUGUUGACGGAGUUGUGCAAGAAGAAGAAGGAGAGGAUGAGGCUGGUUCUCAACCUAUGGAACCCUAUGUUGGCAUGAGGUUUGACAGCCUUCAAAUUGCUAAGGAUCACUACAACAGCUACGCACUACGGAUGGGUUUCUCUAUCAAGAUGAACACAUCUAGAUGGACACCCCGCACCAAUGAAUUGAUAAAACAACAGUUUUGCUGCAACAAGUUCAAGAAGCCCAAAGCUGAUGAUGGAGGAGCUGAGGCUCCUCCUGUCCUGGACCCUAUUCCAGAUCCAAAAUCUGUUGAUAAUGAUGAGGAGAUGGAAGAAGAACCUCCAAUAUUUGCUGAAGAGGAGGCUGGUACUAGUAAGAAGAAGAAGAAGAAGCACAAACGCGAGACAAUAAAGCAGACUCCGUGCAAAGCGAAAAUGUUGGUGAAGCUGAUAGAUGGGCGAUGGGAGGUGACGCACUUUGUUCGUGAACACAAUCAUCCGCUCGUGAACAAACCUUCAUUAUCCAAAUACUUGAGACCCCACCAAGGCAUCUCACCUGAUGAAAAGGAGUUUCUGCGCAUCUCGUAUAACUGCAACUUGACUACAGGCGAUUACAAUCCAAGUACCAUGACGGGCCGUGCUACUACAGGUGAUCGUGAUGGUCCUACUACCCCGUUGGAGGUUGCGUCCCCUGCACAAGCUUCUGAUGAUUUUGUGCCCAGGGAUCCUCCAAGGUCUACUACAAAGGGUAGGGCAAAAAGUCGACGGUACAAAUCGGCGUGGGAGCUACACCCAAAGAAGAAAAACAAAUGCAGCCAGUGCCAAUCUACAGAGCACACUGCUGGUGUGUGUCCACUCAGGCUACUGUGA
This 996-nucleotide ribosomal RNA is filed under the name Triticum aestivum (bread wheat). Its description in RNAcentral is "partial small subunit ribosomal RNA". Lineage: Eukaryota; Viridiplantae; Streptophyta; Magnoliopsida; Poales; Poaceae. The record is from RNAcentral.